This 436-nucleotide ribosomal RNA is filed under the name uncultured Rhodobacter sp. RNAcentral's name for it is "bacterial SSU rRNA". It matches the Rfam family "Bacterial small subunit ribosomal RNA", at positions 342 to 795 of the family's 1533-position model. The record is from RNAcentral. Lineage: Bacteria; Pseudomonadati; Pseudomonadota; Alphaproteobacteria; Rhodobacterales.
CGGGUGGCAGCAGUGGGGAAUCUUAGACAAUGGGCGCAAGCCUGAUCUAGCCAUGCCGCGUGAUCGAUGAAGGCCUUAGGGUUGUAAAGAUCUUUCAGUGGGGAAGAUAAUGACUGUACCCACAGAAGAAGCCCCGGCUAACUCCGUGCCAGCAGCCGCGGUAAUACGGAGGGGGCUAGCGUUGUUCGGAAUUACUGGGCGUAAAGCGCACGUAGGCGGACUGGAAAGUCAGAGGUGAAAUCCCAGGGCUCAACCUUGGAACUGCCUUUGAAACUCCCGGUCUUGAGGUCGAGAGAGGUGAGUGGAAUUCCGAGUGUAGAGGUGAAAUUCGUAGAUAUUCGGAGGAACACCAGUGGCGAAGGCGGCUCACUGGCUCGAUACUGACGCUGAGGUGCGAAAGCGUGGGGAGCAAACAGGAUUAGAUACCCGAGUAGUC